RNAcentral lists this ribosomal RNA (1008 nucleotides) under uncultured Bacteroidota bacterium. RNAcentral's name for it is "bacterial SSU rRNA". It matches the Rfam family "Bacterial small subunit ribosomal RNA", at positions 9 to 1011 of the family's 1533-position model. The record is from RNAcentral. Lineage: Bacteria; Pseudomonadati; Bacteroidota.
GAGUUUGAUUAUGGCUCAGGAUGAACGCUAGCGGCAGGCCUAAUACAUGCAAGUCGAGGGGUAGAGCGGUGCUUGCACUGCUUGAGACCGGCGCACGGGUGCGUAACGCGUAUGCAACCUACCCUUUUCUGGGGGAUAGCCCGAAGAAAUUCGGAUUAAUACCGCAUAAGACCACGAUACGGCAUCGUAAUGGGGUCAAACAUUUAUGGGAGAAGGAUGGGCAUGCGUGCCAUUAGCUGGUUGGCGGGGUAACGGCCCACCAAGGCGACGAUGGCUAGGGGAUCUGAGAGGAUGGCCCCCCACACUGGUACUGAGACACGGACCAGACUCCUACGGGAGGCAGCAGUAAGGAAUAUUGGUCAAUGGAGGCAACUCUGAACCAGCCAUGCCGCGUGCAGGAAGACGGCCCUCUGGGUUGUAAACUGCUUUUAUUCGGGAAUAAACCUACUUACGUGUAAGUAGCUGAAUGUACCGAAGGAAUAAGGAUCGGCUAACUCCGUGCCAGCAGCCGCGGUAAUACGGAGGAUCCAAGCGUUAUCCGGAUUUAUUGGGUUUAAAGGGUGCGUAGGCGGCCUGUUAAGUCAGGGGUGAAAGACGGUAGCUCAACUAUCGCAGUGCCCUUGAUACUGAUGGGCUUGAAUGGACUAGAGGUAGGCGGAAUGAGACAAGUAGCGGUGAAAUGCAUAGAUAUGUCUCAGAACACCGAUUGCGAAAGGCAGCUUACUAUGGUCUGAUUGACGCUGAGGCACGAAAGCGUGGGGAUCGAACAGGAUUAGAUACCCUGGUAGUCCACGCCCUAAACGAUGAACACUCGCUGUUGGCGAUACACAGUCAGCGGCUAAGCGAAAGCGUUAAGUGUUCCACCUGGGGGAGUACGCCCGCAAGGGUGAAACUCAAAGGAAUUUGACGGGGGCCCGCACAAGCGGGAGAAGCAUGUGGUUUUAUUUCGAUGAUACGCGAGGAACCUUUACCCGGCUUGAAAGUUUAGGUGAGUAUCCAGAGAUGGAU